UACGUAGGGUGCGAGCGUUAAUCGGAAUUACUGGGCGUAAAGCGUGCGCAGGCGGUUUUGUAAGUCAGAUGUGAAAUCCCCGGGCUUAACCUGGGAACUGCGUUUGAAACUACAAGGCUAGAGUGUGGCAGAGGGGGGGUGGAAUUCCACGUGUAGCAGUGAAAUGCGUAGAGAUGUGGAGGAACACCGAUGGCGAAGGCAGCCCCCUGGGUUAACACUGACGCUCAGGCACGAAAGCGUGGGGAGCAAACAGG
This 254-nucleotide ribosomal RNA is filed under the name uncultured bacterium. RNAcentral describes it as "partial 16S ribosomal RNA". It matches the Rfam family "Bacterial small subunit ribosomal RNA", at positions 524 to 776 of the family's 1533-position model. The record is from RNAcentral.